Molecule: RNA transcript, 1314 nt
Organism: Triticum dicoccoides
Lineage: Eukaryota; Viridiplantae; Streptophyta; Magnoliopsida; Poales; Poaceae
Gene name: probable leucine-rich repeat receptor-like protein kinase At2g28990
Exons: 4
Source: RefSeq, a predicted model, not a curated record
UUUGCUGACAAUCUGAUUGCAUUGCAGGUUUGGUACAAAUUUCUCAAAAAAAAUCAUGCUUUUGCAGCACCGUCCUGUUGAGCCAUGAGAUCUAAACCAAGGAAUCCAGAUAACAUCGACUAUGUUUAUAGAUCACUACAUGUUCCGUUGGAACAUUGUGAGGUCCUUUUUCCAGUUUGCUACUAAAUUCUCAAAAAAGAAACGUUCUUAUGCAUCACCAUCAUGUGGAACCACGAUACCUGAACCAAUGAACUCAGUGAACAUUUAUUAUAUUUAUUAUGGAUCAUUACAUGUUCUGCUGGAACAAGUUGUUGCAGCGGCACAAACUCGGUUGCGUCCGCUAUGACCCCAAUCUUCGGAUUAUUAUAAGUAGAGGUUGAUCGUGUAGGAGGUGAAGAUGCUCACGCCUAAAGCCAAACUUGACGCCGUCGACGCCACCAUCCGGGAGCUCAUUUAUAUUGGCUUCGAAUGGCUACCGUUGUAUUUUCUGUACUUUUGGUUGUGGUCGUAAUUGUUACCCUGUGCCUUUGCAAGAAUAACUGAAAAUGGUGAUUUCUAUUGACUGGAAACCGAGUACUUGUCUAAUUAUUGUUCAAGAAAAUAUAGUGAGUCGUGUUCUUGGUUGCUAAUAGUAUAGUACACCUAUGCGGAUCCUUCUGUCGGACCGUUGAAUGGAAAUAACUCAAAAGAAGAUAAUAGAGGUGUUGUCUCUAUGCAAUCGGUAACUGUCAGUUCAGUUACAAAGAACGACCAUCACAAAUAACUUUGAGAUGUCCAUUGGUAAAGGUCAGUUUGGAGUAGUCUAUUUUGGCUACUUGAAAGAUGGAACCCCAGUUGCAGUCAAAACACGCUUAGAAUCAUCAUCUCAUGGGGUUAAUGAGUUCUUGGCAGAGGCUCUACAUCUAAUAAGAGUUCAUCACAGGAACUUGGUCAAUCUGGUUAGCCACUACAAGGAUGGACACCACUCAACUCUUGUCUACGAGUAUAAAUUGCUAAUUUGCAUUGCUCUUUCGUGCAACAAGUGCGUUGAUACUUACAAACAACGAGGCAUGUGACUAUUUACUAUCACUGUUGUUUGGUAUUUGAACAUGUCUUUUCGAGGGGGAGAUGGGAACAGAUAGACUCAGUGAAAGUUGGCUGCACGUAAACUAUUGUGAUCAAGUUGGAAAAAAAUGUUUCCCCUCUUAACUGCUCCUGUUGGAGACUGGGGUCAGUAGUCACUGAAAUUUGCACACGCAUGGAGGAAUGAAUGAUGAUUCUCAAGUAACGAAGUUGUAGCCUUCACGACAAGAUAAAUGGAUGAUUUUGCAGCUC